UUGAAGAGUUUGAUCAUGGCUCAGAUUGAACGCUGGCGGCAGGCCUAACACAUGCAAGUCGAACGGUAACAGAAAGAAGCUUGCUUCUUUGCUGACGAGUGGCGGACGGGUGAGUAAUGUCUGGGAAACUGCCUGAUGGAGGGGGAUAACUACUGGAAACGGUAGCUAAUACCGCAUAACGUCGCAAGACCAAAGAGGGGGACCUUCGGGCCUCUUGCCAUCGGAUGUGCCCAGAUGGGAUUAGCUUGUUGGUGGGGUAACGGCUCACCAAGGCGACGAUCCCUAGCUGGUCUGAGAGGAUGACCAGCCACACUGGAACUGAGACACGGUCCAGACUCCUACGGGAGGCAGCAGUGGGGAAUAUUGCACAAUGGGCGCAAGCCUGAUGCAGCCAUGCCGCGUGUAUGAAGAAGGCCUUCGGGUUGUAAAGUACUUUCAGCGGGGAGGAAGGGAGUAAAGUUAAUACCUUUGCUCAUUGACGUUACCCGCAGAAGAAGCACCGGCUAACUCCGUGCCAGCAGCCGCGGUAAUACGGAGGGUGCAAGCGUUAAUCGGAAUUACUGGGCGUAAAGCGCACGCAGGCGGUUUGUUAAGUCAGAUGUGAAAUCCCCGGGCUCAACCUGGGAACUGCAUCUGAUACUGGCAAGCUUGAGUCUCGUAGAGGGGGGUAGAAUUCCAGGUGUAGCGGUGAAAUGCGUAGAGAUCUGGAGGAAUACCGGUGGCGAAGGCGGCCCCCUGGACGAAGACUGACGCUCAGGUGCGAAAGCGUGGGGAGCAAACAGGAUUAGAUACCCUGGUAGUCCACGCCGUAAACGAUGUCGACUUGGAGGUUGUGCCCUUGAGGCGUGGCUUCCGGAGCUAACGCGUUAAGUCGACCGCCUGGGGAGUACGGCCGCAAGGUUAAAACUCAAAUGAAUUGACGGGGCCCGCACAAGCGGUGGAGCAUGUGGUUUAAUUCGAUGCAACGCGAAGAACCUUACCUGGUCUUGACAUCCACGGAAGUUUUCAGAGAUGAGAAUGUGCCUUCGGGAACCGUGAGACAGGUGCUGCAUGGCUGUCGUCAGCUCGUGUUGUGAAAUGUUGGGUUAAGUCCCGCAACGAGCGCAACCCUUAUCCUUUGUUGCCAGCGGUCCGGCCGGGAACUCAAAGGAGACUGCCAGUGAUAAACUGGAGGAAGGUGGGGAUGACGUCAAGUCAUCAUGGCCCUUACGACCAGGGCUACACACGUGCUACAAUGGCGCAUACAAAGAGAAGCGACCUCGCGAGAGCAAGCGGACCUCAUAAAGUGCGUCGUAGUCCGGAUUGAGUCUGCAACUCGACUCCAUGAAGUCGGAAUCGCUAGUAAUCGUGGAUCAGAAUGCCACGGUGAAUACGUUCCCGGGCCUUGUACACACCGCCCGUCACACCAUGGGAGUGGGUUGCAAAGAAGUAGGUAGCUUAACCUUCGGGAGGGCGCUUACCACUUUGUGAUUCAUGACUGGGGUGAAGUCGUAACAAGGUAACCGUAGGGGAACCUGCGGUUGGAUCACCUCCUU
Molecule: ribosomal RNA, 1535 nt
Filed under: Escherichia coli
Lineage: Bacteria; Pseudomonadati; Pseudomonadota; Gammaproteobacteria; Enterobacterales; Enterobacteriaceae
Description: bacterial SSU rRNA
Rfam family: Bacterial small subunit ribosomal RNA
Source: RNAcentral